UUUCAAGAUGAGAUCUGCCGGGGCCUUGAGCCCCCUAAAGAGUCGUUCAAGACCAGGACGUUGAUAGGUCAGGUGUGGAAGCGCAGUAAUGCGUUAAGCUAACUGAUACUAAUUGCUCGUGCGGCUUGACCCU
RNAcentral lists this ribosomal RNA (133 nucleotides) under Pseudomonadota bacterium. RNAcentral's name for it is "partial 23S ribosomal RNA". It matches the Rfam family "Bacterial large subunit ribosomal RNA", at positions 2797 to 2925 of the family's 2925-position model. The record is from RNAcentral. Lineage: Bacteria; Pseudomonadati; Pseudomonadota.